This 462-nucleotide ribosomal RNA is filed under the name uncultured bacterium. RNAcentral describes it as "partial 16S ribosomal RNA". It matches the Rfam family "Bacterial small subunit ribosomal RNA", at positions 338 to 795 of the family's 1533-position model. The record is from RNAcentral.
CCUACGGGUGGCAGCAGUGAGGAAUAUUGGUCAAUGGACGCAAGUCUGAACCAGCCAAGUAGCGUGCAGGAUGACGGCCCUCCGGGUUGUAAACUGCUUUUAGUUGGGAAUAAAUGGGGGCUCGUGAGCCCCGUAUUUUAUGUACAAUCAGAAAAAGGACCGCCUAAUUCCGUGCCAGCAGCGCAGUUAAGACGGAAGGUCCGGGCGUUAUCCGGUUUAAUUGGGUUUAAAGGGAGCGUAGGCCGGCUUUUAAGUCAGCUGUGAAAGUCCGCGGCUCAACCGUGGAAUUGCAGUUGAAACUGGAGGCCUUGAGUGCACACAGGGAUGCCGGAAUUCAUGGUGUAGCGGUGAAAUGCUUAGAUAUCAUGAAGAACUCCGAUCGCGAAGGCAAGUGUCCGGGGUGCAACUGACGCUGAGGCUCGAAAGUGCGGGUAUCAAACAGGAUUAGAUACCCCAGUAGUC